RNAcentral lists this long non-coding RNA (348 nucleotides) under Homo sapiens (human). Its description in RNAcentral is "HSALNT0193712". The record is from RNAcentral. Lineage: Eukaryota; Metazoa; Chordata; Mammalia; Primates; Hominidae.
GGCCUCUUGAGCUUAUGUGUGGAGCUCAUGUGCGGUGGCCUGGUAUUCAAUCUGCGAGGUGGGAUCCUGUUGGCAAGACCCCCUCUAUUUUGCCGAGAGCUUUCUUUUAAUAAAUUCUGCUCUCCUCACCUCUCAAUGUGCCUGCAUGCCUAAAUUUCCUGGUAGUGACACAAGAACCUGGAUUUUAGCUGAGCUGAGGAGCAGAAAUUCCUGCAUCAGUAAGUUUACUGGUUGGACCCCAAGGAGCCCCAGAAGAUGGAACUGACACAAGAUGAAAGAAGACAGCUGCCCCAAACAACAAGUAGAAGGCUGCCUACCAACUGACAUGCUUCUAGUUGCUGAUUAGCU